RNAcentral lists this ribosomal RNA (1365 nucleotides) under Actinomycetes bacterium. RNAcentral describes it as "Actinobacteria bacterium partial 16S ribosomal RNA". Lineage: Bacteria; Bacillati; Actinomycetota; Actinomycetes. The record is from RNAcentral.
AGGCCACCGGCUUCGGGUGUUACCGACUUUCAUGACGUGACGGGCGGUGUGUACAAGGCCCGGGAACGUAUUCACCGCAGCGUUGCUGAUCUGCGAUUACUAGCGACUCCGACUUCACGGGGUCGAGUUGCAGACCCCGAUCCGAACUGAGACCGGCUUUGAAAGGAUUCGCUCCACCUCACGGCAUCGCAGCCCUUUGUACCGGCCAUUGUAGCAUGUGUGAAGCCCUGGACAUAAGGGGCAUGAUGACUUGACGUCAUCCCCACCUUCCUCCGAGUUGACCCCGGCAGUCUCUCACGAGUCCCCACCAUAACGUGCUGGCAACAUGAGACAAGGGUUGCGCUCGUUGCGGGACUUAACCCAACAUCUCACGACACGAGCUGACGACAGCCAUGCACCACCUGCACACAGGCCACAAGGGAACCGACAUCUCUGCCGGCGUCCUGUGCAUGUCAAACCCAGGUAAGGUUCUUCGCGUUGCAUCGAAUUAAUCCACAUGCUCCGCCGCUUGUGCGGGCCCCCGUCAAUUCCUUUGAGUUUUAGCCUUGCGGCCGUACUCCCCAGGCGGGGUACUUAAUGCGUUAGCUACGGCACGGAUCCCAAGGAAGGAAACCCACACCUAGUACCCACCGUUUACGGCGUGGACUACCAGGGUAUCUAAUCCUGUUCGCUCCCCACGCUUUCGCUCCUCAGCGUCAGUUACUGCCCAGAGACCCGCCUUCGCCACCGGUGUUCCUCCUGAUAUCUGCGCAUUCCACCGCUACACCAGGAAUUCCAGUCUCCCCUGCAGUACUCCAGUCUGCCCGUAUCGCCCGCACGCCCACAGUUAAGCUGUGAGUUUUCACGAACAACGCGACAAACCACCUACGAGCUCUUUACGCCCAGUAAUUCCGGACAACGCUCGCACCCUACGUAUUACCGCGGCUGCUGGCACGUAGUUGGCCGGUGCUUCUUCUCCAGGUACCGUCACUUGCGCUUCGUCCCUGGCGAAAGAGGUUUACAACCCGAAGGCCGUCAUCCCUCACGCGGCGUCGCUGCAUCAGGCUUGCGCCCAUUGUGCAAUAUUCCCCACUGCUGCCUCCCGUAGGAGUCUGGGCCGUAUCUCAGUCCCAGUGUGGCCGGACACCCUCUCAGGCCGGCUACCCGUCGUCGCCUUGGUAGGCCAUCACCCCACCAACAAGCUGAUAGGCCGCGGGCCCAUCCCACACCGCAAAAGCUUUCCACCACAGCACAUGCAUGCCAUGGUCCUAUUCGGUAUUAGACCCAGUUUCCCAGGCUUAUCCCAAAGUGCAGGGCAGAUCACCCACGUGUUACUCACCCGUUCGCCACUCGAGUACCCCGAAGGGCCUUUCCGUUCGACUUGCA